This 357-nucleotide ribosomal RNA is filed under the name Dactyloptena orientalis (oriental flying gurnard). Its description in RNAcentral is "partial 12S ribosomal RNA". It matches the Rfam family "Bacterial small subunit ribosomal RNA", at positions 801 to 1360 of the family's 1533-position model. Lineage: Eukaryota; Metazoa; Chordata; Actinopteri; Syngnathiformes; Dactylopteridae. The record is from RNAcentral.
AAACAAAGAUAGAACCCUACACAUCUAUCCGCCCGAAUACUACGAGCGCAAGCUUAAAACUCAAGGGACUUGGCGGCGCUUUAAAACCAUCUAGAGGAGCCUGUUCUGGAACCGAUUCCCCCCGUUCAACCUCACCCUCUCUUGCUCCUUCCCGUCUAUAUACCGCCGUCGUCAGCUCACCCUUUGAAGGACAAACAGUAAGCGAAACUGGUAAUACCUAAAACGUCAGGUCGAGGUGUAACGUAUGAGAGGGAAAGAAAUGGGCUACAUUUGCUUACUCAAGUGAGCACCUGGACCAUAACUGAAAAUGUUUGGUAAAGCAAGGAUUUAGCAGUAAGCGUAAGAGUAGAGCGCUAC